GUAGGUGGCAAGCGUUGUCCGGAAUUAUUGGGCGUAAAGCGCGCGCAGGCGGUCCUUUGAGUCUGAUGUGAAAGCCCACGGGCUCGACCGUGGAGGGUCAUUGGAAACUGGGGGACUUGAGUACAGAAGAGGAAAGCGGAAUUCCAAGUGCAGCGGUGAAAUGCGUAGAGAUUUGGAGGAACACCAGUGGCGAAGGCGGCUUUCUGGUCUGUAACUGACGCUGAGGCGCGAAAGCGUGGGGAGCAAACAGGAUUAGAUACCCUGGUAGUCCACGCCGUAAACGAUGAGUGCUAAGUGUUAGGGGGUUUCCGCCCCUUAGUGCUGCAGCUAACGCAUUAAGCACUCCGCCUGGGGAGUACGGCCGCAAGGCUG
Molecule: ribosomal RNA, 372 nt
Filed under: uncultured organism
Description: partial 16S ribosomal RNA
Rfam family: Bacterial small subunit ribosomal RNA
Source: RNAcentral